CCGCAUAAGAUUGUAGCUUCGCAUGGAGCAGCAAUCAAAGGAGCAAUCCGCUGAAAGAUGGACUCGCGUCCGAUUAGAUAGUUGGCGGGGUAACGGCCCACCAAGUCGACGAUCGGUAGCCGGACUGAGAGGUUGAUCGGCCACAUUGGGACUGAGACACGGCCCAGGCUCCUACGGGAGGCAGCAGUGAGGGAUAUUGGGCAAUGGGGGAAACCCUGACCCAGCAACGCCGCGUGAGGGAUGACGGUUUUCGGAUUGUAAACCUCUGUCCUCUGUGAAGAUAGUGACGGUAGCAGAGGAGGAAGCUCCGGCUAACUACGUGCCAGCAGCCGCGGUAAUACGUAGGGAGCAAGCGUUGUCCGGAUUUACUGGGUGUAAAGGGUGCGUAGGCGGAUUGGCAAGUCAGAAGUGAAAUCCAUGGGCUUAACCCAUGAACUGCUUUUGAAACUGUUAGUCUUGAGUGAAGUAGAGGUAGGCGGAAUUCCCGGUGUAGCGGUGAAAUGCGUAGAGAUCGGGAGGAACACCAGUGGCGAAGGCGGCCUACUGGGCUUUAACUGACGCUGAGGCACGAAAGUGUGGGUAGCAAACAAGAGUAGAUACCCUGGUAGUCCACACUGUAAACGAUGAUUAUAGGGUGUGGGGGGUCUAACCCCCUCCGUGCCGGAGUUAACACAAUAAGUAAUCCACCUGGGGAGUACGACCGCAAGGUUGAAACUCAAAGGAAUUGACGGGGGCCCGCACAAGCAGUGGAGUAUGUGGUUUAAUUUGACGCAACGCGAAGAACCUUACCAGGUCUUGACAUCCAACUAACGAAGCAGAGAUGCAUUAGGUGCCCUUCGGGGAAAGAUGAGACAGGUGGUGCAUGGUUGUCGUCAGCUCGUGUCGUGAGAUGUUGGGUUAAGUCCCGCAACGAGCGCAACCCUUGUGAUUAGUUGCUACGCAAGAGCACUCUAAUCAGACUGCCGUUGACAAAACGGAGGAAGGUGGGGAGGACGUCAAAUCAUCAUGCCCUUUAUGACCUGGGCUACACACGUACUACAAUGGUCGUUAACAGAGGGAAGCAAUACCGCGAGGUGGAGCAAAACCCUAAAAACGGUCUCAGUUCAGAUUGUAGGCUGCAACUCGCCUACAUGAAGUUGGAAUUGCUAGUAAUCGCGGAUCAGCAUGCCGCGGUGAAUAAAAGGCCGGGCCUUGCACA
This 1198-nucleotide ribosomal RNA is filed under the name uncultured bacterium. Its description in RNAcentral is "bacterial SSU rRNA". It matches the Rfam family "Bacterial small subunit ribosomal RNA", at positions 169 to 1387 of the family's 1533-position model. The record is from RNAcentral.